AGAGUUUGAUCCUGGCUCAGGAUGAACGCUAGCUACAGGCUUAACACAUGCAAGUCGAGGGGAAACGAUUAGAGGUGCUUGCACCACUAAGGCGUCGACCGGCGCACGGGUGAGUAACGCGUAUCCAACCUUCCCUAUAGUAGAGGAUAGCCCGGCGAAAGUCGGAUUAAUACUCUAUGUUUUCCAAUGCAGACAUCUAAAAUGGAACAAAGGUUUACCGCUAUAGGAUGGGGAUGCGUCUGAUUAGGUAGUCGGCGGGGUAACGGCCCACCGAGCCCUCGAUCAGUAGGGGUUCUGAGAGGAAGGUCCCCCACAUUGGAACUGAGACACGGUCCAAACUCCUACGGGAGGCAGCAGUGAGGAAUAUUGGUCAAUGGGCGAGAGCCUGAACCAGCCAAGUCGCGUGAAGGAUGAAGGUUCUAUGGAUUGUAAACUUCUUUUGUCCGAGGGUAAAAAAGGCUACGUGUAGCUUCUUGCAAGUAUCGGACGAAUAAGCAUCGGCUAACUCCGUGCCAGCAGCCGCGGUAAUACGGAAGGUCCGGGCGUUAUCCGGAUUUAUUGGGUUUAAAGGGAGCGCAGGCGGGUUAUUAAGCGUGUUGUGAAAUGCGGCGGCUCAACCGUCGAAUUGCAGCGCGAACUGGUUACCUUGAGUGAGUACGACGUCAGCGGAAUUCGUGGUGUAGCGGUGAAAUGCUUAGAUAUCACGAAGAACCCCGAUUGCGAAGGCAGCUGACGGGAGCGUUACUGACGCUUAAGCUCGAAAGCGCGGGUAUCGAACAGGAUUAGAUACCCUGGUAGUCCGCGCGGUAAACGAUGGAUGCCCGCUGUUUGCGUCUAACGUAAGCGGCCAAGUGAAAACGUUAAGCAUCCCACCUGGGGAGUACGCCGGCAACGGUNAAACUCAAAGGAAUUGACGGGGGCCCGCACAAGCGGAGGAACAUGUGGUUUAAUUCGAUGAUACGCGAGGAACCUUACCCGGGCUUGAAUUGCUGAGGAAAGAUCCAGAGAUGGUGAUCUUCGGGGUCUCAGUGAAGGUGCUGCAUGGUUGUCGUCAGCUCGUGCC
Molecule: ribosomal RNA, 1063 nt
Filed under: unidentified rumen bacterium 30-21
Lineage: Bacteria; Pseudomonadati; Bacteroidota; Bacteroidia; Bacteroidales; Bacteroidaceae
Description: bacterial SSU rRNA
Rfam family: Bacterial small subunit ribosomal RNA
Source: RNAcentral